GACGAACGCUGGCGGCGUGCUUAACACAUGCAAGUCGAACGGAAAGGCCCUGCUUUUGUGGGGUGCUCGAGUGGCGAACGGGUGAGUAACACGUGAGUAACCUGCCCUUGACUUUGGGAUAACUUCAGGAAACUGGGGCUAAUACCGGAUAGGAGCUCCUGCUGCAUGGUGGGGGUUGGAAAGUUUCGGCGGUUGGGGAUGGACUCGCGGCUUAUCAGCUUGUUGGUGGGGUAGUGGCUUACCAAGGCUUUGACGGGUAGCCGGCCUGAGAGGGUGACCGGCAACAUUGGGACUGAGAUACGGCCCAGAAUCCUACGGGAGGCAGCAGUGGGGAAUAUUGCACAAUGGGCGGAAGCCUGAUGCAGCAACGCCGCGGGCGGGAUGACGGCCUUCGGGUUGUAAACCGCUUUCGCCUGUGACGAAGCGUGAGUGACGGUAAUGGGUAAAGAAGCACCGGCUAACUACGUG
Molecule: ribosomal RNA, 468 nt
Filed under: uncultured bacterium
Lineage: Bacteria
Description: partial 16S ribosomal RNA
Rfam family: Bacterial small subunit ribosomal RNA
Source: RNAcentral